GACGUUAUAAGACAAGUAUCGGUUUAAGUACAAUGUUUUCGGCUUCGCUUUAGUUAGUGACAUAAAAAAAUGAUUUUGAUAAAAUGUGCGGUUUUUGCGAUACUGCACUUUGUAAGUGCUCAAAAUGAAAUAUUAACGGGCGACAACGUCAACUACCAAUUCUUCCCCCUGAAAAAUCGCAAAUAUUCAGCGGUGUCAUUUAAAGUGGACGCUCGCAACGAUGCCCACGUCGCUCUCAGCACUCAUCCACUGACCUUUCCUAUGUAUGAGUUCAUCAUUGGAGGCUGGGGAAACACAAAAAGCGCGAUCCAAAAACAGACCUGCCCGCCACUUCAAAGAGACGAAGCAGAGACGCUUGGGAUCUUAAACGGGCAAGAAUAUCGAGGCUUUUGGAUACGCUGGGACACUGGAAAUAUUUUGGUCGGACGCAGGGGAGAGGACAAACCUUUUAUAUCUUAUCAAGAUCCAAAGCCUUUUCGAGCGAAGUUUGCUGGUGUGAGAACUAGUUAUGGCGCAGAUGGGAACUGGAAACUAGCAAAUGGCUCGCGCCACGACGGUCGAAAUGAACAAAGUAUUGAUGUGACCACGCUAAACGACGCUACAGCUCAAUACUUCCCGGUGUCUGGUAGCGCAGUGCAUUUCAAAGUACGCGCUCCAAAUGACGCCAUGAUUGAGCUGACCAGUCAAGCUCGCCAAACUGAUCCCAUGUAUGAGAUCAUUAUUGGAGGUUGGAGUAAUAAAAAAAGUGUGAUCAGAAAACACGUCUGUAACAUACUUCAGAAAGAUGAGGCCCAAACCCCCCAGAUAUUGAACAACAAAGAGUUCCGCGAGUUCUGGCUUCAGUGGGAUAAUGGCAAUGUCUUGGUUGGUCGCGAAGGCGAAGCCGCACCUUUCCUGGUGUGGCAAGAUCCUGAUCCCAUGACCGUUGCUUAUGUAGGCGUGCGGACAACAUUGGGCUCUACGGGCAAUUGGGUGUUAGCAAGUGGUUCUAAUAAGGGCGGCGAUAGCAUUGAUGUAGCAACACCAAACGACGAGAAGUGGCAAUUUUUCCCCAUAAUGGGUGAUUCGCUGACGAUCAAAGUCCGUGCAAGCAACGAUGCUAAUAUCGGUUUGUCUUCGCACCCGAGGGAAACUGAUCCGUUGUACGAGGUCAUCCUCGGAGGUUGGAGUAACACUAAAAGCGUGAUCAGAAAACAUUGUUGCAUGAAUCCCGAUAAAGCUGUAAGUCAGACGAACGGGAUACUGAACAGCGGAGAGUCCAGAGGGUUCUGGUUGAAUUGGGACAAAGGCAACUUCAUGGCAGGCCGGGAAGGCGAGACGAAUCCCUUCAUAUUGUGGCAAGACCCUGACCCGGCUCCUGUGGCGUUCAUAGGCGUACACACUGGAUUUGGUUCUACUGGAGUCUGGGAUAUUGAAAAUGUUUCUGCAAAGGACGUCAUAGUCUCAAAUAGUAAUGAAACCAUAUCGAAGCCAGCGGUGUGCGCAGCGACACUAACACGCCUUCGUCACGGCGACGCAUGCGCAGGGCAGACUGUCUUUGAGGAAAACUUCGACUACCUGCGCCAUGACAUUUGGGAAGUGCAGCAUUACGUGCCGGUCGACCACCCUGAGCUGCCAUUCGUAUCGUAUCAGCGUUCUACUGUGUCCGUGACGAAUGGCUACCUUCGAAUUGCCCCGAGUCUCCAGCAAAAUCAGCCAGGUUUUACGCAUUCCAGCAUGUUUGAGGCCUUGAAUUUAUAUAAAGGUUGCACGUCGGGACAGUCCAGUUCAUGCCACUUAGAAGCCAGUGACGGGUCUUCAGUUAUCCCCCCCGUGAUUGGAGGCCGCAUUAGCAGUAGAUCAAGUUUUGGUUUCACUUAUGGCAUUAUCAGCAUUCGCGCUAAACUGCCUCAGGGAGACUGGCUUUACCCAGAAAUAUUAUUGGAAUCUUCCUCUAAGAAGUUUGUAUACGGUACAAAGAAUUCUGGAAUGUUGAAGAUAGCGUGCGCCCGGGGUAAUAAAGAACUGAUGAAAGGAUCCACUCAGUACGGGAAUAAGAUAAUUUGAUUUUCUCUGUGGACGGUAAAGAAUACGCUAGCGUCGAGUCCGAUAGCGAUGGUUUGCGUGCGCGUCUUCCGAAGACCUGCGCUGGACCUCACGAAGCAGACUUAGCGCCUUUCGAUAACCACUUCUUCAUAACUCUGGGG
RNAcentral lists this unclassified non-coding RNA (2186 nucleotides) under Leguminivora glycinivorella. Its description in RNAcentral is "beta-1,3-glucan-binding protein-like, transcript variant X2". Lineage: Eukaryota; Metazoa; Arthropoda; Insecta; Lepidoptera; Tortricidae. The record is from RNAcentral.